UGGGGGAUAUUGCACAAUGGGCGAAAGCCUGAUGCAGCGACGCCGCGUGGGGGAUGAAGGCCUUCGGGUUGUAAACUUCUUUUGCUCUGAACAAGGCGCACCAUGGGGUGUGUUGAGUGUAGGGGUUGAUUAGCGCCGGCUAACUACGUGCCAGCAGCCGCGGUAAUACGUAGGGCGCGAGCGUUGUCCGGAUUUAUUGGGCGUAAAGCGAGCGCAGGCGGUUAGAAAAGUCUGAAGUGAAAGGCAGUGGCUCAACCAUUGUAGGCUUUGGAAACUGUUUAACUUGAGUGCAGAAGGGGAGAGUGGAAUUCCAUGUGUAGCGGUGAAAUGCGUAGAUAUAUGGAGGAACACCGGUGGCGAAAGCGGCUCUCUGGUCUGUAACUGACGCUGAGGCUCGAAAGCGUGGGGAGCGAACAGG
RNAcentral lists this ribosomal RNA (418 nucleotides) under Verrucomicrobiota bacterium. RNAcentral's name for it is "Verrucomicrobia bacterium partial 16S ribosomal RNA". It matches the Rfam family "Bacterial small subunit ribosomal RNA", at positions 355 to 776 of the family's 1533-position model. Lineage: Bacteria; Pseudomonadati; Verrucomicrobiota. The record is from RNAcentral.